ACGUCGGCGAUUUCAGUA
This 18-nucleotide unclassified non-coding RNA is filed under the name Chlamydomonas reinhardtii. RNAcentral describes it as "small RNA Cre_0353". The record is from RNAcentral. Lineage: Eukaryota; Viridiplantae; Chlorophyta; Chlorophyceae; Chlamydomonadales; Chlamydomonadaceae.